AACGAACGCUGGCGGCGUGCCUAACACAUGCAAGUCGAACGAGACCUUCGGGUCUAGUGGCGCACAGGUGCGUAACGCGUGGGAACCUGCCCUUAGGUUCGGAAUAACUCCCCGAAAGGGGUGCUAAUACCGGAUAAUGUCUUCGGACCAAAGAUUUAUCGCCUUUGGAUGGGCCCGCGUUGGAUUAGCUAGUUGGUAGGGUAAAAGCCUACCAAGGCGACGAUCCAUAGCUGGUCUGAGAGGAUGAUCAGCCACACUGGGACUGAGACACGGCCCAGACUCCUACGGGAGGCAGCAGUGGGGAAUAUUGGACAAUGGGCGAAAGCCUGAUCCGGCAAUGCCGCGUGAGUGAUGAAGGCCUUAGGGUUGUAAAGCUCUUUUACCCGGGAUGAUAAUGACAGUACCGGGAGAAUAAGCUCCGGCUAACUCCGUG
Molecule: ribosomal RNA, 433 nt
Filed under: uncultured bacterium
Lineage: Bacteria
Description: partial 16S ribosomal RNA
Rfam family: Bacterial small subunit ribosomal RNA
Source: RNAcentral